Molecule: ribosomal RNA, 700 nt
Filed under: uncultured Gammaproteobacteria bacterium
Lineage: Bacteria; Pseudomonadati; Pseudomonadota; Gammaproteobacteria
Description: bacterial SSU rRNA
Rfam family: Bacterial small subunit ribosomal RNA
Source: RNAcentral
GCUUGCUAGUAGGCGACGAGUGGCGGACGGGUGAGUAACGCGUAGGAAUCUACCUAGUAGUGGGGGAUAGCCAAGGGAAACUUUGGGUAAUACCGCAUACGAUCUAAGGAUGAAAGGGGGCCUCUCUUUGAAGCUCUCGCUAUCAGAUGAGCCUGCGUAAGAUUAGCUUGUUGGUGGGGUAAUGGCUCACCAAGGCGACGAUCUUUAACUGGUCUGAGAGGAUGAUCAGUCACACUGGAGCUGAGACACGGUCCAGACUCCUACGGGAGGCAGCAGUCGGGAAUAUUGGACAAUGGGGGAAACCCUGAUCCAGCCAUGCCGCGUGUGUGAAGAAGGCUCUAGGGUUGUAAAGCACUUUUAGUAGGGAGGAAGGCUCGAUGGUUAAUACCCAUCGGGAUUGACGUUACCUACAGAAAAAGCACCGGCUAAUUUCGUGCCAGCAGCCGCGGUAAUACGAAAGGUGCAAGCGUUAAUCGGAAUUACUGGGCGUAAAGCGCGCGUAGGCGGCUUAGUAAGUUAGAUGUGAAAGCCCCGGGCUCAACCUGGGAACUGCAUCUAAAACUGCUAGGCUAGAGUAUGGUAGAGGAUGGCGGAAUUUCCUGUGUAGCGGUGAAAUGCGUAGAUAUAGGAAGGAACAUCAGUGGCGAAGGCGGCCAUCUGGACCAAUACUGACGCUGAGGUGCGAAAGCGUGGGGAGCAA